AAUAUUGGACAAUGGGCGAAGGCCUGAUCCAGCAAUGCCGCGUGAGUGAUGAAGGCCUUAGGGUUGUAAAGCUCUUUUACCCGGGAUGAUAAUGACAGUACCGGGAGAAUAAGCCCCGGCUAACUCCGUGCCAGCAGCCGCGGUAAUACGGAGGGGGCUAGCGUUGUUCGGAAUUACUGGGCGUAAAGGGCGCGUAGGCGGCCUUGAUAGUUGGGCGUGAAAGGCCUGGGCUCAACCCGGGAACUGCGUUCAAUACUGUAAGGCUAGAGUGUGGGAGAGGUUGGUGGAAUUCCCAGUGUAGAGGUGAAAUUCGUAGAUAUUGGGAAGAACACCGGUGGCGAAGGCGGCCAACUGGACCACAACUGACGCUGAGGCGCGAAAGCGUGGGGAGCAAAC
This 396-nucleotide ribosomal RNA is filed under the name uncultured bacterium. Its description in RNAcentral is "bacterial SSU rRNA". It matches the Rfam family "Bacterial small subunit ribosomal RNA", at positions 360 to 773 of the family's 1533-position model. The record is from RNAcentral.